GACGUAGGGGGCCAGCGUUGCUCGGAAUUACUGGGCGUAAAGGGUUCGUAGGCGGUGUGGCAAGUCGGAAGUGAAAUCUCCAGGCUUAACUUGGAGGCUGCUCCCGAAACUGCCAUGCUAGAGUGCGGGAGAGGCGAGUGGAAUUGCAGGUGUAGCGGUGAAAUGCGUAGAUAUCAGGAGGAACACCGGUGGCGAAGGCGGGUCUCUGGGCCGAUACUGACGCUGAGGAGCGAAAGCGUGGGGAGCAAACGGG
Molecule: ribosomal RNA, 253 nt
Filed under: uncultured bacterium
Lineage: Bacteria
Description: partial 16S ribosomal RNA
Rfam family: Bacterial small subunit ribosomal RNA
Source: RNAcentral